Long non-coding RNA from Saccostrea cuccullata (small rock oyster), 751 nucleotides. RefSeq lists it as uncharacterized. NCBI's taxonomy places the organism in Eukaryota, Metazoa, Mollusca, Bivalvia, Ostreida, Ostreidae. The record is from RefSeq and is a predicted model, not a curated record. The transcript has 2 exons.
CUCUGAGAAAUCGUCGGCACAAAAUUUGUGCAGAAAAAAAGAAUAAUAAUAAUAAGAAGAAGAAAAUUGAAAAAGAAACAUAAGAAUAAUAGAAGGGUCUUCCGCUGAAGACGGAAGACCCUAAUAAUUGUAUUUAUGUAUUUAAUGCGAUAAUUUGUUUGGAGGUUUUCGGAAACAUUUACGUUGGUAAAUUGUGAAAAUUCUCAGAUCCACGCCUUGCCUAAUUGUAAUGGAAUGUGUAAGGUCACGUGGUCAGCUCAGCGAGUCAUUCACACUCGCGCGCUCACCACCGCUAACAUGAAGCACGUCUAUUUUGAAGACCCACCUCCACCCCAACAUUCCUAUCCCUUAAUAUGAUCAUUAAUGUGUCAUGUAAAAUUUAUAUUAUAUUAUAGUUUUUACUCGAUUGUUUUACGCUUUCAUGUAUUUGGUUUUGAUUAUGAUCUUUUUGCAAACUUUUUCUUCUGAGGUUUUGAUUGUGUCUUUGAUGUACCAUCUUUUUGCCAACUUUUUCUUGUGAUGUUUGCCUAUUUUAUUUUGAUGUGCCAUCUAUUUGCUAACUUUUUAAUAUGAUGUUUUGAUUGUCUUGUCUUACAGAUACUUUUUUCUAGUCAGUUUUGGGGGAUCAGACAUUAUCAUAUUUUACGUAACUGAUAAGCAAAGCUUGUGAAUCUGAUCCCCCUUCUUGUUUGUUAAAUUGUUCACAUUUAUACCGUCAUUUUAAUAAAUGACAUUUUUCAUCAACAUCAAA